UCGAGCCUGCGACCACCGACAUGAGGACCAAGGCCUCAAUAUGUGGGUUGUGCUUUGCCCCACACCACCACAGUGCCCCCACACUGAUCCUUUUAUUUCAGUUUUUUUUUGUUUUUUUUCAGAUCCAAAUUCAGGGGCUGCAUCUUUCGAAGGACCUGGUCAGCAUAGGGUGGAAUUGGGAGGGGUGCUGCUGUCCAACAGUCAACGGACAAGAGGACGGGUCACCCUGGACAGGUCGCAGGAGACAGUCAUGUUCAGAUGUUGGUAAACUGGCACAGCAGACCGUCCCCUGUGUUCUUCCUGCAGUACUCUGUCUCAGUGUCCAGCUUCCUGGACUUCCAGUGGGUUCACAUCUUCAGGAUGUCCAGAGACCUUCACCUUUCAGCAGGGAACAUAUGUGCCAAUAGCCCUGAUGGCACAUUUAAUAAAAAAAACAGCCAUGAGGUUGUACCCCAUGCUUCACUAACAUAUGUGAAGCUGUCCUUGGGUAGAAACACCUUACUGGAUAGAACCAGACUAUUAUCAAGGCAGAAUUGCAUCAUGUGAUUAGCAAAUAUUGAACUUUUAACAGAAAUAUCUGCAUU
Poecilia reticulata (guppy) is the source of this 584-nucleotide non-coding RNA. Lineage: Eukaryota; Metazoa; Chordata; Actinopteri; Cyprinodontiformes; Poeciliidae. The record is from RefSeq and is a predicted model, not a curated record.